UACGAAGGGUGCAAGCGUUACUCGGAAUUACUGGGCGUAAAGCGUGCGUAGGUGGUUUGUUAAGUCUGAUGUGAAAGCCCUGGGCUCAACCUGGGAAUUGCAUUGGAUACUGGCAGGCUAGAGUGCGGUAGAGGGUAGUGGAAUUCCCGGUGUAGCAGUGAAAUGCGUAGAUAUCGGGAGGAACACCAGUGGCGAAGGCGACUACCUGGCCUGUUCUUGACGCUGAGGCGCGAAAGCUAGGGGAGCAAACGGG
Molecule: ribosomal RNA, 253 nt
Filed under: uncultured bacterium
Lineage: Bacteria
Description: partial 16S ribosomal RNA
Rfam family: Bacterial small subunit ribosomal RNA
Source: RNAcentral